AUAGUAAAUUACUUAUGUGAUAUAUACAUAUAGACAAAUCGAAAAUUUUCCCCUAAAAUUUAUUUUAGGGUUCUUAUAAUAAUUAGAAGGUAUAAAAAUGAGUUCUGUAAUAAAGGUUUUUAAUAUUCUUGUUAUGGCAUUACUUCUGUCCUUUUCAAUAAUUGCAGUUGCUGAUGAUGAAACUACAGGAGAUGCAACUGCUGACGUAAUAUGUAACAUUAUUGGGUACAUCUGGAAUAUAGGUGGG
Cinara cedri is the source of this 247-nucleotide non-coding RNA. The record is from the annotation of a GenBank genome assembly. Lineage: Eukaryota; Metazoa; Arthropoda; Insecta; Hemiptera; Aphididae.